GACGAACGCUGGCGGCGUGCUUAACACAUGCAAGUCGAGCGGUAAGGCCCUUCGGGGUACACGAGCGGCGAACGGGUGAGUAACACGUGAGUAAUCUGCCCAUCACUUCGGGAUAACUCCGGGAAACCGGUGCUAAUACCGAAUAUGACCACUUCAGGCAUCUGAUGGUGGUGGAAAGUUCCGGCGGUGAUGGAUGAGCUCGCGGCCUAUCAGCUUGUUGGUGGGGUAGUGGCCUACCAAGGCUUCGACGGGUAGCCGGCCUGAGAGGGUGACCGGCCACACUGGGACUGAGACACGGCCCAGACUCCUACGGGAGGCAGCAGUGGAGAAUAUUGGACAAUGGGCGAAAGCCUGAUCCAGCAACGCCGCGUGAGGGAUGACGGCCUUCGGGUUGUAAACCUCUUUCAGCAGGGACGAAGCGCAAGUGACGGUACCUGCAGAAGAAGCACCGGCCAACUACGUG
This 463-nucleotide ribosomal RNA is filed under the name uncultured bacterium. RNAcentral's name for it is "partial 16S ribosomal RNA". It matches the Rfam family "Bacterial small subunit ribosomal RNA", at positions 28 to 507 of the family's 1533-position model. The record is from RNAcentral.